GACGAACGCUGGCGGCGUGCUUAACACAUGCAAGUCGAGCGGAAAGGCCCUUCGGGGUACUCGAGCGGCGAACGGGUGAGUAACACGUGAGUAACCUGCCCUUCACUUUGGGAUAACCCUCGGAAACGGGGGCUAAUACCGGAUAUGACACAGGCUCGCAUGGGUUUCUGUGUGGAAAGAUUUUUUUGGUGGGGGAUGGGCUCGCGGCCUAUCAGCUUGUUGGUGGGGUNAUGGCCUACCAAGGCGACGACGGGUAGCCGGCCUGAGAGGGCGACCGGCCACACUGGGACUGAGACACGGCCCAGACUCCUACGGGAGGCAGCAGUGGGGAAUAUUGCACAAUGGGCGAAGCCUGAUGCAGCGACGCCGCGUGAGGGAUGACGGCC
This 386-nucleotide ribosomal RNA is filed under the name uncultured bacterium. RNAcentral describes it as "bacterial SSU rRNA". It matches the Rfam family "Bacterial small subunit ribosomal RNA", at positions 28 to 416 of the family's 1533-position model. The record is from RNAcentral.